CAUUGUGCAAUUCAAUGUGAUUUGAUGUGACUAAAUUAUUUUCUUUUUUUGUUGGAAGUAUCCUUUUUUUUAGUAUUUAAUAGGAAAAAAUUUUUAUUAUUAUAGUUUAUUAGUAAAGUGAUUGAAAUUUGAUAUAUUGGUUAACAUUUGUAAAGAAGAAUUAAUUUUUCGUACCUUGUGUAUCAGGGUUGAUAAAUUAUGUGGUUUGUAUAAAUUUUUCCCGAAUCAAAAAGAGUUAACUUUGAAUGAUUAUGAUUGUGAAAUAAAUCUAUUUAAUUCAUAGUUGGUAGCGAAACGUUAUUCGUUUUUUGAGAUAUCUGGUUUCCUAAGAAAUGAAUUUAAUUCUUUGGUUAUUAAAAUUAUAUUCAAUUUUUGAUUUUAAUUUUUUAACUUGUAAUGGUAGGUGGGAUGAGCUUCUUAUCAGAUGGCUAAAAAUUUUUUUGUUUGGUUGAUUAGUAUAAUUAGAAUUGUUAAUCUUUGGAAUAAUUUUAUAGUUGAUCUUCUUGAUUUUAUUAUUUCUAUAAUUUUUAGCUUUUAUAUUGGGAUUUUUUUUUUAAUUUUUUAGAUUAAUUAAUAAUGAUUGAAUUAGUAAAUUUUAAUUUAGAUUGUUUUUUGUUUGUGAGGUUUAAUAAAGGAAUUCGGCAAUGAGGUUUUCCGCCUGUUUAUUAAAAACAUGUCCUUUUGAAUAUGAUUUAAGGUCUAAUCUGCUCAAUGAGGAGUUAAAUUGCCGCGGUAUUAUGACCGUGCGAAGGUAGCAUAAUAAUUAGCUUUUUUAUUGAAAGCUGGAAUGAAUGAUUGGACGAGAAAACAUCUGUCUCUGUUAAAUUUUUUGUUGAAUUUAACUUUUAAGUAAAAAGGCUUAAAUUUUUUAGAAAGACGAGAAGACCCUAUAGAGUUUGAUAUUUCGGUUAUUAGAAGGUUUUUGGUAUUGAUUUCUUUUAUUUUUCGAAUUAUUUGGUUGGGGUGACUGGAAGAAAUGAUUAACUCUUCUAUGAUUUUAUUACUGAUUUGUAAAUAGUUAUUCUGGAUUUGCCAAGUUUAAUAUAAAUUACCUUAGGGAUAACAGCGUAAUUUCCUUUGAGAGUUCUUAUUUAAAGGGGAGUUUGCGACCUCGAUGUUGGAUUAAAAUUAAUAUUGGGUGCAGUAGCUCAAUUAUUAGGUCUGUUCGACCUUUAAAAUUUUACAUGAUCUGAGUUUAAACCGGCGUGAGCCAGGUUGGUUUCUAUCUUUUGAGUUUUAUGACGUUUUAGUACGAAAGGACCGAACGUUGAAUAUAUUAUUUGUUUUUUGAAUUUCAUUAUUACUUUGGCAGAUUAGUGCAA
Molecule: ribosomal RNA, 1322 nt
Filed under: Cryptalaus yamato
Lineage: Eukaryota; Metazoa; Arthropoda; Insecta; Coleoptera; Elateridae
Description: 16S ribosomal RNA
Rfam family: Archaeal large subunit ribosomal RNA (bases 556-1322)
Source: RNAcentral